UCACACUAUCCAGCCUUCCCGACGGCGGCUGUUUGCAAGAAAAAUAGGGUUUCAGUGGUGGCAGUUUUACCUCCACUCACGCUGCCAUCGCCUCCGAGCCCCACUCCCCGAUCCAGACAACCACCCCGCCCAGAUCUGGAUCCACCUAGCGCAGCACGGCCGUGGCUACCAGAUCUCACAGCCUCCGCUUCUGCUUUCUUUUAUGCAGGCGGCGGCGGGGGAGAGGGAGCUGCCGAGCAACGGGUCGCCGCCGGUGGUGGAUGAUGCCGGCGUCCAGGUCGCGGCCGUACUACGGAAGCGGUCGUUCCGGACGAUUCAGCACAGCAAGAUCCGCACGCGCAGGGCCUCCGCGACCGCCGGAUGCGGCUCUCGGUCGGGGUCGCGCGAGAGUUCUUGGCGCUGCAGGACCGCCUCGGGUUCGACAAGGCCAGCAAGACCCUGAACUGGCUCCUCGCCCAGUCCAAGCCGCCCAUCGACUGCCUCGUCGACGCCGCCGACCAGGUGGCUGUAGUCACUGGAGGACGACCGACGCUGGUGAAGGGGAGAGAGCAGGGGAGCAACUCAAGCACUUGCUGUUUGACAGACUUGAGGUAGGAGCUAGCCACGGAAAGGGAAGAAGAAGAGGCAGUGAUGACGGUUUUGAUUGGCCACCGCCUCUUAUUGAAGAACACAGCUGGGACUUCGCGCAGGGCUGGAGUGCUACUUCCAGUAUUGCUUGCAGGUCGAGGAGUUGAUGAGAUGCAACGGCCGAAUGCCAAGGUGAUUACUUGUAUGCUAUGCAAACAUGCAUAAAACAUUGUAUAUAGGUGAUUCCCAUUACGUAAUUAGGCUAUAUGGUUGGUUGCUAGCUACACAGUACAAAUAAAUCAACUGGGUUCUCUAUAAAUCAAUAGUCAUGAGCCUGGGGUUGUGUUAUCCACUUUUGGUUAAUGGCAAGUAAUAAUCUUAUCAUAAUUAGCUAGUGUUGUUUA
This is an RNA transcript of Zea mays, 971 nucleotides long. It is a transcript of the gene named transcription factor pseudogene, with no coding region annotated. Lineage: Eukaryota; Viridiplantae; Streptophyta; Magnoliopsida; Poales; Poaceae. The transcript has a single exon. The record is from RefSeq and is marked validated.